GCGCCCUGCCCGCCGCCAGGAUGCCCACGAGGAAGGUCAGCUCCGCCGAGGGGGCGGCGAAAGAGGAGCCCAAGAGGAGAUCGGCGCGGUUGUCGGCCAAACCUCCUGCAAAAGUGGAAGCAAGGCCAAAAAAGGCGGCGGGAAAGGAUGCCUCUUCAGACAGAAAAGUGCCAGCAAAAGGGAAAAAGGGGAGGGAAGGGAAAGCAGGCUGAAGUGACUAACCAAGAAACUAAAGAAGAGUGAGUGACCUGCAGAAAACGGAGAAGCUAAAACCGAGGAGAAUCCAGCCUCUGAUGAAGCAGGAGAGAAAGAAGCCAAGUCUGAAUAAUAUCAUAUCCCAUGUCUUAUCAGUGGUCCUUGUCUCCCUUCUUGUACAAUCCAGAGGAAUAUUUUUAUCAACUAUUCUGUAAAUGCAGGUUUUUUAGUAGCUCUAGAAACAUUUUUAAGAAGGAGGAAAUCCCACCUCAUCCCAUUUUUUA
Carlito syrichta (Philippine tarsier) is the source of this 479-nucleotide RNA transcript. It is a transcript of the gene named non-histone chromosomal protein HMG-14 pseudogene, with no coding region annotated. NCBI's taxonomy places the organism in Eukaryota, Metazoa, Chordata, Mammalia, Primates, Tarsiidae. The record is from RefSeq and is a predicted model, not a curated record. The transcript has a single exon.